GUCUCUGUGGCGUAAUAGGUUAGUGCGUUCGGCUGUUAACUGAAAUAUUGGAGGUUCAAGCCCACCCAGGGACG
Molecule: transfer RNA, 74 nt
Filed under: Danio rerio (zebrafish)
Lineage: Eukaryota; Metazoa; Chordata; Actinopteri; Cypriniformes; Danionidae
Rfam family: tRNA
About the family: Transfer RNA (tRNA) molecules are approximately 80 nucleotides in length. Their secondary structure includes four short double-helical elements and three loops (D, anti-codon, and T loops).
Source: Rfam by way of RNAcentral